GAUGAACGCUGGCGGCGUGCCUAAUACAUGCAAGUCGUGCGGAAAGGCCCUUCGGGGUACUCGAGUGGCGGACGGCUGAGUAGCGCGUGGGAACGUGCCCCAAAGUGAGGGAUAACGCACCGAAAGGUGUGCUAAUACCGCAUAUGGUCUUCGGAUUAAAGCUUCGGCGCUUUGGGAGCGGCCCGCGUACGAUUAGAUAGUUGGUGAGGUAAUGGCUCACCAAGUCGACGAUCGUUAGCUGGUCUGAGAGGAUGAUCAGCCAGACUGGGACUGAGACACGGCCCAGACUCCUACGGGAGGCAGCAGUAAGGAAUCUUCCAGAAUGGGGGCAACCCUGAGGGAGCAACGCCGCGUGCAGGAUGAAGGUUUUCGGAUCGUAAACUGCUUUUAUAAGUGAAGAAUAUGACGGUAACUUAUGAAUAAGGAUCGGCUAACUACGUGCCAGCAGCCGCCGUAA
This 457-nucleotide ribosomal RNA is filed under the name uncultured bacterium. RNAcentral's name for it is "partial 16S ribosomal RNA". It matches the Rfam family "Bacterial small subunit ribosomal RNA", at positions 28 to 523 of the family's 1533-position model. The record is from RNAcentral.